GAUCCCAUGGCAUCCCACUGCAUAUGUCAUGGAAAUUCAAAUAAAAAAUCCCAUUGCAAUAAGAUUUACAAAUCUGGAGCUGGUUAACAAUCCACUUAACAGUGCAGCGUUAAGAGACCAACAAGGAAAAUACAACCUCUGUCUACGUGGCAGUUUAGCAGGUGUGUGAGAUCAUGGUGGGAACAUAGCGAACAAGCUGCACUUUUGUUACUCCUUUCUGCUGAUAGAAUUGUUGCUGCUGCUCAAACUAGCCUCUGUUCUCUUCAUAUCUCCACACAGCUGUGUCCUUGAAAGGAAAAGAACAGGAUGGAUCAAACACUGGACAGUCUCAGAGGCUCUUUUGUCUUUGGCCGUGUGAACAAGUUACUCUGAAACAAGAGAGGGAAAACAAUGGCUUCUUCUUACAUGAGAGAAACAGACAGUGGGAAUGUACAGGUUUAAGGCUUAUACAGUGCAUGUGUAUAACAGAGUUUGUCAUUUUGCCACCAUACAUGUCACACAAACAGCACUAAUCUUCGAUCGCUGUUCCAGUAUCCACUCUAGCACUUAGAAUUAAGCCGUACCUACAGUCAGUGUCCAUUUCACCUUUAUGUCAGCCUUCACCUGCUGGGCAAGUUGUUGUCAUCAAGGCAGUUUUUUUCUAAAACUACGGGUGAAUCGGUACAUGUAUUCGUACUGAACCAUUCGCUACAGGGUCCACGGUGCACGGUUCGGUACGCACUGCCGAACAAUACAUUAAUCAUAUAUUAUAGCUAGGAAUAUAUAUAUUUAAUUGUAAAAAAAAUAUUAUUGCAUAAACCGAUGGCGUAUAAAUUAACGUGGGAAAAAUAUCCACAUAGUAAUAAAGUUGUCUUUAAAAAAAAAAAGUUUUGUCUCGUAGCUGUAUGCGGCUACGCUCAUUAGUUAUUUCACUCCAGCGAGAACAGAGCUGAGAGACCGUCGUCGUAGCAGCAAUUAGUUUAUGAAGAAAUGAGCAGUUAGCUAAAUGCUAAGGAGCAACACAACUAGAAGACGCCACAGGAUCUUUCAGGUCUGCCGUCUGGGAAUAUUUUGGUUUCCCUGUAAACUAUAACAAGGGAUUGGCAACGAGUGGUGGAUAUAACUUCUCCAACAUGUGGGCUCUGUUCAUUGCUGAUAGCCUAUUAGAGUGGUGGAUAAACUCAUCCAACAUGUGGGCUCUGUUCAUUGCUGAUAGCCUAUUAGUGGUGGAUAAACUUCUCCAACAUGUGGGCUCUGUUCAUUGCUGAUAGCCUAUUAGAGUGGUGGAUAAACUUCUCCAACAUGUGGCCUCUGUUCAUUGCUGAUAGCCUAUUAGAGUGGUGGAUAAACUUCUCCAACAUGUGGGCUCUGUUCAUUGCUGAUAGCCUAUUAGAGUGGUGGAUAAACCUCUCCAACAUGUGGCCUCUGUUCAUUGCUGAUAGCCUAUUAGAGUGGUGGAUAUAACUUCUCCAACAUGUGGGCUCUGUUCAUUGCUGAUAGCCUAUUAGAGUGGUGGAUAAACUUCUCCAACAUGUGGCCUCUGUUCAUUGCUGAUAGCCUAUUAGAGUGGUGGAUAAACUUCUCCAACAUGUGGGCUCUGUUCAUUGCUGAUAGCCUAUUAGAGUGGUGGAUAAACUUCUCCAACAUGUGGCCUCUGUUCAUUGCUGAUAGCCUAUUAGAGUGGUGGAUAAACUUCUCCAACAUGUGGGCUCUGUUCAUUGCUGAUAGCCUAUUAGAGUGGUGGAUAAACCUCUCCAACAUGUGGCCUCUGUUCAUUGCUGAUAGCCUAUUAGAGUGGUGGAUAUAACUUCUACAACAUGUGGGCUCUGUUCAUUGCUGAUAGCCUAUUAGAGUGGUGGAUAAACUUCUCCAACAUGUGGGCUCUGUUCAUUGCUGAUAGCCUAUUAGAGUGGUGGAUAAACCUAUCCAACAUGUGGCCUCUGUUCAUUGCUGAUAGCCUAUUAGAGUGGUGGAUAUAACUUCUACAACAUGUGGGCUCUGUUCAUUGCUGAUAGCCUAUUAGAGUGGUGGAUAUAACUUCUACAACAUGUGGGCUCUGUUCAUUGCUGAUAGCCUAUUAGAGUGGUGGAUAAACUCCUCCAACAUGUGGGCUCUGUUCAUUGCUGAUAGCCUAUUAGAGUGUCAAUACGAGUAACAUGACUACUCAUUUGUGCCGACAUCACCCCAAAGUGCCAAUUGGUGGGACUAGGCGAAAAAAAUGAAACGGCAACCACUUCUCCCCACAGCCUUCAGGCAACAAUAUGCGGCUGACUCCGAUAAGGAUAAAUAUACAGUAUCAACGCAGCAGUAGCAAAAUUCCUAGCGGCAGAUAUGAGACCCUUCUCUGUGGUAGAGAAUGCAGAGUUCAGAAACAUAUUUAAAGUGGUCGAGCGUUUCACUAUUCCUUGCCGUACACAUUUCUCCCAGACAUUAUUACCUGCCUUAUACAAAAAAACUAAAGAACUACUUGAGAGCAAGACUUCAGAAAAGCGGUCUGUUGCUCUAACAACAGACAGUUGGACGUCUAGAGCUACAGAGAGCUACCUUACUGUAACGACUCAUUUCAUUACGGCAGAGUGGGAGAUAAAAAGCCAUGUCCUUCAAACACGUCCCCUUGAGAGUCGUCACACCAGUGUAAACUUGGGGGAGGAGCUGAGGAAAGUAGUCGCAGUGUGGAAGUUGGAGAGGGAUGAUGUAACGAUUCCUGUGACCACUGACAACACUAGAAACAUUGUAAAUGCAGUUGCUCUAGCUGGACUGGGCCACAGAUAGGAUGCUUUGCUCACGUUAUUAAUCUAGCAUCUCAAAAAGAAACGUCAGUGAAUCCAAUCUCUCGCUUCCUAGCACAGAUCAGGAAGGUGGUAUCCUUCUUUCAUAAAAGCACAACUGCUGAACAUGUUUUCAAGACACAACAGGAGAUGCUGGUGCUGCCAAACCACAAACUAAUCCAAGAUGUCCCUACUAGAUGGAAUUCAAGCAAUGACAUGGUCGAGAGAUACCUUGAGUAGAAAGUUGCGGUGUAUUCUACACUGACUGAUCAAGCUGUGAGGAAGAAUGUCAAAGAUAUUGUGACCUUGUCUGAAAAUGACAUAAGACUAGCAGAGGAAGUUUUCAAAGUGUGAAAACCUCUCAGAACAGUCACAACACUGAUCUGCACUGAGAGCAUUCCAUCAGUUUCCAUGAUCCUGCCUAUGAAAACAAUGAUCCUGAAUAUUAAUGGUGGCAUCUGAUGAAAAUGAACCCGCAGUAAGGGGUGUCAAGAUUGCUAAUCAGAGUUAACCUGGAGCCUAGAUAUGCUGACCCUGGUGUCCAAGACUUCUUACACAAGAGCACCGCUUUGGAACCCCGGUUCAAGUCUCUGCUGCACCUAGAGGCUUCUGCUCGUCUGAGAGUCUACAACAAUCUCACAGCAGAGAUUGUGACCAAUAUACAACAGGGUCAAGCCACAGAUACAACAGGAGCCAACCCCUCUCCAGAGACGACAGGGGUUCUCCUCCAGAGUUGUUCACCACCCAGGAGCAGGGAACCAAGUCAAAGGUCAAGGUCAUGGAGGAGGAGGUGACCUCAUACAGGGAAGUGGACUGUAUUCUCCUGGAUGCUGAUCCUCUUACAUGGUGGAAGACCAAAUAGUUAAUAUAUCCUCAUGUUGCCAUGUUAGCAAGCCGCUGUGCCUGGGACCUCUGUCCCGAGCGAGAGGGUAUUCUCCACAGCUACCUGGCUGUGCCUGGGACCUCUGUCCCGAGCGAGAGGGUAUUCUCCACAGCUAUCUGGCUGUGCCUGGGACCUCUGUACCGAGCGAGAGGAUAUUCUCCACAGCUAUCUGGCUGUGCCUGGGACCUCUGUCCCGAGCGAGAGGGUAUUCUCCACAGCUACCUGGCUGUGCCUGGGACCUCUGUCCCGAGCGAGAGGGUAUUCUCCACAGCGGCUGACAUUGUCACAGCAACACGAUCUGUGCUCACUGCAGAUCAUGUGGAUAGACUAAUCUUCGUAAAGAAAAACUUGAAAAUCUGAUUUAAAAAAAAUUAUUUGUCACUUUUGUUCAAGUAACCAGUCUCAAGUGGUCCUAUUUUGUUUAAGGCACUGCUAUGUGACUUCAUUUUGAUAUCUGAUGCUGGACUAUGCACUCUUGAUGAAGCUGUUUUAAAUGACUAUUUUAUUUCAUGUUAUAAGGCAGGCACUGUUUUUUGUUGUCCCUUUGUUUCCAUAUGUUCCUGGGAAUUUAAGCAUCCCAUGUUUACUAUUAUAAUAAAUGGAAAAUCUAAAUACAAAAUUA
Salvelinus fontinalis (brook trout) is the source of this 4252-nucleotide long non-coding RNA. RefSeq lists it as uncharacterized. The transcript is spliced from 2 exons. NCBI's taxonomy places the organism in Eukaryota, Metazoa, Chordata, Actinopteri, Salmoniformes, Salmonidae. The record is from RefSeq and is a predicted model, not a curated record.